This 590-nucleotide ribosomal RNA is filed under the name Cystofilobasidium capitatum. RNAcentral describes it as "LSU rRNA". It matches the Rfam family "Eukaryotic large subunit ribosomal RNA", at positions 84 to 664 of the family's 3401-position model. The record is from RNAcentral. Lineage: Eukaryota; Fungi; Basidiomycota; Tremellomycetes; Cystofilobasidiales; Cystofilobasidiaceae.
UAACGGCGAGUGAAGCGGGAAGAGCUCAAAUUUAAAAUCUGGCAGUCUACGAUUGUCCGAAUUGUAAUCUCGAGAAGUGUUUUCCGCGUUGGCCUGUGCACAAGUCCCUUGGAACAGGGCGUCAUAGAGGGUGAGAAUCCCGUCCUUGGCACAGAUACCCAAUGCUUUGUGAUACACUCUCAAUGAGUCGAGUUGUUUGGGAAUGCAGCUCAAAAUGGGAGGUAAAUUCCUUCUAAAGCUAAAUACUGGCGAGAGACCGAUAGCGAACAAGUACCGUGAGGGAAAGAUGAAAAGCACUUUGGAAAGAGAGUCAAACAGUACGUGAAAUUGUUGAAAGGGAAACGAUUGAAGUCAGUCGUGCCUGCCUAGAUUCAGCCUUCUGGUGUAUUUCUAGGUCGGCAGGUCAGCAUCAGUUUGGGAGGGUUAACAAGGGGAUUAGGAAUGUGGCAACCUCGGUUGUGUUAUAGCCUAGUUUCGUAUUGAUCUUGCUGGACUGAGGAACGCAGUGCGCCCGCAAGGGUAGGUCUUCGGACACUUUCGCACUUAGGAUGCUGGCAUAAUGGCUUUAAACGACCCGUCUUGAACMACGG